UCCAUUUACCUUGUAGGUCAUGAAGCGGUGGAGUUCAUUGGGAAAGAGAGUGCAGGCUUUGCCAACUGGUGGGUAGAUGGUGUCAGAAUCAAAGUUUGUGUUGAAACCAAAUGGAAGAACUUGGCCAGAAGUGAAGGCCAGGAAUUCAGAUGGGAGGUCUUUAUCCUUUAGUAGCCGAGCCAGAGUUAGUAGAACUAGUAUCUAUGGUGGUAAUAGAAGUGGCAGCAGCUGUGGUGGCGGUGGUGAGGGGGUUGAGAGAGCAAGAGGAGUAGAAGGUGGAGGAAAGGAACAAAGUAAGUAGAUUUGUGGACAAGAGAAGGAAAAGGAAAAAGAGUUUGGUGGAGAGAGACUUUGGUUUAUGAGGGGAAUCCAUGAGGAUCUAGUUCACUAGUUGGAAUUGAUUUGAUGAAGAUCACUUGGAGAUGAAGAAAAUAUUGGAAUAGCAACAACUGGGAAGUGGGUUAUGGUCU
RNAcentral lists this unclassified non-coding RNA (470 nucleotides) under Hevea brasiliensis (rubber tree). Lineage: Eukaryota; Viridiplantae; Streptophyta; Magnoliopsida; Malpighiales; Euphorbiaceae. The record is from RNAcentral.